GAUGAACGCUGGCGGCGUGCCUAAUACAUGCAAGUCGAGCGAACAGACGAGGAGCUUGCUCCUCUGACGUUAGCGGCGGACGGGUGAGUAACACGUGGAUAACCUACCUAUAAGACUGGGAUAACUUCGGGAAACCGGAGCUAAUACCGGAUAAUAUAUUGAACCGCAUGGUUCAAUAGUGAAAGACGGUUUUGCUGUCACUUAUAGAUGGAUCCGCGCCGCAUUAGCUAGUUGGUAAGGUAACGGCUUACCAAGGCAACGAUGCGUAGCCGACCUGAGAGGGUGAUCGGCCCCACUGGAACGGAGACACGGUCCAGACUCCUACGGGAGGCAGCAGUAGGGAAUCUUCCGCAAUGGGCGAAAGCCUGACGGAGCAACGCCGCGUGAGUGAUGAAGGUCUUCGGAUCGUAAAACUCUGUUAUUAGGGAAGAACAAAUGUGUAAGUAACUAUGCACGUCUUGACGGUACCUAAUCAGAAAGCCACGGCUAACUACGUG
Molecule: ribosomal RNA, 497 nt
Filed under: uncultured bacterium
Lineage: Bacteria
Description: partial 16S ribosomal RNA
Rfam family: Bacterial small subunit ribosomal RNA
Source: RNAcentral